This 253-nucleotide ribosomal RNA is filed under the name uncultured bacterium. RNAcentral describes it as "partial 16S ribosomal RNA". It matches the Rfam family "Bacterial small subunit ribosomal RNA", at positions 524 to 776 of the family's 1533-position model. The record is from RNAcentral.
UACGUAGGGGGCAAGCGUUGUUCGGAAUUACUGGGCGUAAAGGGCUCGUAGGCGGCCAACUAAGUCAGACGUGAAAUCCCUCGGCUUAACCGGGGAACUGCGUCUGAUACUGGAUGGCUUGGAUGUGGGAGAGGGAUGCGGAAUUCCAGGUGUAGCGGUGAAAUGCGUAGAUAUCUGGAGGAACACCGGUGGCGAAGGCGGCAUCCUGGACCAUUAUUGACGCUGAGGAGCGAAAGCCGGGGGAGCAAACGGG